GAAUAUGACAAAUUUGGGUUAUCGGGCAUGACUAGAAAUCAUGUGGGCUCUACCCGCGCAGGUUCGAAUCCUGCCGACCA
This 80-nucleotide transfer RNA is filed under the name Oryza sativa Japonica Group (Japanese rice). RNAcentral's name for it is "tRNA-Ser". The record is from RNAcentral. Lineage: Eukaryota; Viridiplantae; Streptophyta; Magnoliopsida; Poales; Poaceae.